AUGAUUGCCGACGCUGCUCAUGCCAUUGACAUGGCGUGCAAGCCAAGGACGACGCCACUGCAUAAUGCUGGACUCCACGUUACUUCCGAGCCUCUGGAGAAUGCCAGUUUGGAUGAAGACAUUUGGCAAGUAAGGAUCCAUUUUGAUGCAAGAGAACCAUUGGAGAUGAAGCUGUGUGGUUCAGAUAUUACUUAUUUGAAUUUGGUUGCAGUGAUGAAAACCCAAGGAUUUAAUGCAUAUGAUUGUUUGUUUCACAUUGAAAAUCCAUCUUUAGGAGAGAAAGGGCUGGAUUUGGUAGACAGUCAUGCAGAAUUACAGAAGAUAAAGAGGAAGAUCCAGGACAAAUUGGUGCUUGAUUUGCUAGUCAGGGCUUGCCCACCCCCUGUUACUGAAUUUGAGUUGCAGCAAUGUCAAAUGCCAGAGUUGUCCACUGUGGUGUACCAAGAGCCUGUUGUUUUCGAUCUGAGUGAGCCUCCUAUCUUAGCUGUUGAUCAGCAAGGAGUAGUUUUUGAGAGUCAAUGUAGCAACUCUAGCACACCUCAUCCUGCUGGUGUUUGCACACAAGAAAGCAAGAAUGGAACAGCCAAGUUGAAAGCAGUUUUGGAAGAAGAAGAAGAGGGAUAUCAAGGAUUUGAGGCAUAUGAGGACAGUGAUGCUAAUGCCUCUGAUGAGGAUGCUCAAAUUGGAAAUGACCAUCAUUACAUGGGUGAUGAUGAAGAUGUAGAGGUGGAAGAGGGAAAGAGACAGAGAGAGCUAGAAGUACAAGAGGAAGAAUCAGAUGAUGAGCAAUCAGAAGAGGAAGAAAUGCUGCAUUAUGAGGGUGACACUGAAGUUGAGGAACCAUUUGAGGUAGAGGAAGAUAGGACUUUUGAAGAAGAAGAAGAAACUAUAGUUGAACCUGUGAAGAAGAAGCAGAAGCUACCAGUUAAAAGAGGACCAACAACUAGGUCACAUUCUAGUAAGCUACCAGAGGUUGAACCUGAUUUCAGACCAUCCUCGUCAGAUGAAGAAGAGAAGGGGUUGCUGACGGAGAGUGAUGAUGAUGGUUUUGAGCCAGCCUCUUUUGUCCUACCAAAGAAAAGUAAGAGUAGGGCAAAGAAAAGGCCUGCUAGGAAGUGGUACAAUGAGAAAAUGGAGCAACCACAUGAGCAACUGUGUAUGAAGUUGUGUUUUAGGGAUCAACAUCAAUUCAGAGAUGCUUUGUUGAAUUUGCACAUCACUCAGGCCAGGAAUUUUAAGUAUCACAGGAAUUCAGAUCAGAGGAUAAUUGUUCAGUGUCCAGAUAAACAAUGCCAGUUCUUUAUGGUGGCAGCAGUUAUAAAAGGGGAGAAAACCUUUGUAAUUAAGAAGAUGAGACUAGAGCACACUUGCCCUAGUACCACUGAGACCACCAGGGUUAGUGCUAAGUGGCUAGCACAGAAAUAUGAGCAUCUCUUCAGAUCUGAUAUAACUACUGGUAUUCAGACAAUAAUUGAUGCAUGCAUGGAAAAAUAUGGUGUAGAUGUGCCCAAGUGCAUGGCAUAUAGGGCAAAGAACAUAGCUAUUGAAGCUGUCUUAGGAGAUCACAAGAAGCAAUAUCCUAGGCUUAAAGACUAUGCUCAGACUGUCAUGGAUACAAACCCUGGGAGUAGAGUAAUAGUCACUACUGUUACUCCAGUACCAAAUGCAAAAAUACCCCACCCAGGCCCAAGAUUCCAUGCCAUGUUCUUUUGCCUGAAUGGAGCAAGGGAGGGGUUUCUCAAUGGGUGUAGGCCAUUCAUUGGUGUUGAUGGAUGCUUCAUUAAGCUCACUACAGGAGCUCAACUCCUUGCUGCCACUGAUAGAGAUGGCAACAACAACAUAUAUCCACUGGCAUUUGGCAUAGUUGGACAAGAGUACACACCUAGUUGGUGUUGGUUUCUACACCAACUGAAAAUUUGCCUAGGUGGAGAAGUGGGCAAGUUUGGACCUUAUACUAUAAUGUCAGAUAGACAAAAGGGGUUAUUGAAUGCAGUGAAUGCUGUCUUUCCAAAUUGCAACCAAAGAUUCUGCCUUAGGCAUUUAUAUGCAAAUUUCCAAAAUGUUGGGUUUAGGGGUGAAGAUCUUAAGAAGUGCAUGGAUAAUUCUAGCUAUGCCUACAAUGAACACAAAUUUAAUAUUGCAAUGAAUGAUCUUAGAUCUGAAAGUGAGGAAGCUUGGGAGUGGCUUACUGCAAUACCAAAAAAAACAUGGGCAAGGCAUGCAUUUGACACAAACUGCAAGACUGACUUGGUAGUGAACAACUUGUCUGAGGUGUUCAACAAGUACAUUCUAGAUGUUAGGAGAAAACCUGUAAGGACAAUGUGUGAUGGGAUUAAAGAUAAGCAGAUGGUGAGGUGGCAUAGGAACAGAGAGAGUGUAAAGGCAGCAAGAUGGGAUAUAACACCUCAUUACAGUGAGAAGCUAGAGGUUGAGAAGGAGAGGGCCAGAUAUUGCAAGCCAAUACAGGCAGGGGUCAACUUAUGGCAAGUUACAAAUGGGCAGCAAACACAUGCUGUCAACCUGGAACUUGAGACUUGUGGAUGCAGGAAGUGGGACCUUAGUGACAUACCUUGCAACCAUGCCAUCUCUGCAAUAAACAAGGCUAAAAGGAAACCAGAGGAUUAUGUCAGCAAAUUCUUCAAGAAAGAUUUUUAUGCUGCAGCUUAUGAACCAAUGAUCUUUCCUGUGCCUGGUGAGCAUGAUUGGACAAGGACCCCUGGUCCAGACAUAGAACCACCUGCAUUCAAAAUCAAGAGAGGAAGAAAGAAAGAAAAGAGGAUCAAGGGAAAAUUUGAAGUACCAAAGCCAAAAGACACUUCAAGAAUGGGGACCAUAACAUGUGGCAAUUGUGGUCUCCAAGGGCAUAGGUACACAAACUGUCUUAAACAGUUGAAGCCUGAGCUAGCUUUGAGGAAGAAUAAGCAUGUGGCUACUCCAAGUAACUCACAGCCAAGAGCUGCUGGUCCUUCUACUACAACAACAGCAAGACAGCCAAGAGCUGCUGCCAGAGGAGCUGCCACAGGAAGAGGAGCUGCUACUUCUACUACACCACCACCAUCUGGAAGAGGAAGAGGAGCUGCUACUUCUACUACACCACCACCAUCUGGAAGAGGAGCUGGCAGAGGAAGAGGAGCUGGAAGAGGUGCUCCAAGGCCAUUCAGUGCCCCCAGGCAAUAUGCUGACAUUCCUACUGAUGGUACACACACUGGAUGGAUGUCCUACUUCACUGCUAGUAGAGGAAGAGGAGCCAAGUAA
RNAcentral lists this ribosomal RNA (3255 nucleotides) under Triticum aestivum (bread wheat). Its description in RNAcentral is "partial small subunit ribosomal RNA". Lineage: Eukaryota; Viridiplantae; Streptophyta; Magnoliopsida; Poales; Poaceae. The record is from RNAcentral.